CACCCAUUGGUUGCACUAGCACGGGAAAGCGCAGAAUGGCAGCAGAAUGAGUAGCAGAGUUAACUCAAGCAAGAUGACAACCAAAAAAUAAGUCCUGGUAAAGAAAGGAAUGGGGUGACCACAACCUAUCCUCCUGGUAGCAUCUAUGAAAUUAACUGAAAGAAUGAUGGUAAAAUGGAGUUGGAGAGCUGUGAAAGUUCUUAGGAUAAUCUAGGUGAGACUUUGAAAUUGAGACCUGUCUCCUGGCAGAAACCUUGUAGCUUACAAAAAAGUAGAUCUGUCUAUACCACUCUUAGAGCUGGUGUUCUUGGAAUGGGUGCAAAAUAAUUAAGGAGGUAGGUAGUCACUUUUCCUGCCUUUCGUUCCCUGUGCAUGUGUUGCACAUAUCUGGGAUAGCCAGUAGCCCAUAAAACUGUUCAAAGUUCUCAGCUUCUUCCUAGACAAGAUUAGCUGAAUUCAGCCUAAGGCAUUCAAGUUCAAUAAGAUAGAUUUUACUAUACUUCGUACCUAAAAAGUAGAUUUUCUCUAAAGCAAUCAAAGUACAUGCAUAUCAACACAUCACUGAAUGCGCAUCUGUAUUUUGGUGCAACUCCACAAGAUACUGCCUGUAAUCUACGAGUGUAGUCCCUUUUAAGAGUGAAGUGGGAGGGAAAAAAAGUUAUUUUAAUGGCUAGGAACACAUACUUUAUACAGAAAUCACUAAAUGUGAUAUGUUGCCAGUUUUUCCUAGAUCUUCGGUCAUGUUUAUUGGCAAAAUUUGUAGUUGUUUACAUUUCAAAUAUUCUUUUCUUAGCAGAAGGUUUUUUUCUUACCUAUUUUUUGCCUAGUGUCACAUUGUCUAUUAGUCUUCCAGUAAUGUUUUAAGACAGUUAAAAAAUCUGUAACUCCGAGUAGCAAUUUUUUUUUACAGGGAUUUAAGAACAUCACAAUAGUGAACGUGCAAACCCUUGUAACAGGACCCCUUUCAAAAAUAGAGCAUCACAAUGAGAAAGCUAAAUUAUAUACCUAAAAGCACCUCCUUUUUGAAGAACUCUUCAUCAAUCACUACGCAGUUCCCAUCAUCAUCCCACCAAAUUGACUUGAACUGAUCACUUUCAACAAUUUUCCAGAGUUUCUUCGGAAAGAUCUCAAGGCAGAAUCGCAAGCUGCUGUUUUAUCAUGUAGUGGAGUGACAGAAGAAAUUGAGAUUACAGAAUCAACUAGUUUAUCCCGAACAGAAACACAGGAUGUUUCUGCUAAAGAGAGAUCCAUUUCAG
This is a long non-coding RNA of Dromaius novaehollandiae (emu), 1256 nucleotides long. RefSeq lists it as uncharacterized. The transcript has 3 exons. The record is from RefSeq and is a predicted model, not a curated record. Lineage: Eukaryota; Metazoa; Chordata; Aves; Casuariiformes; Dromaiidae.